RNAcentral lists this small nuclear RNA (150 nucleotides) under Myotis lucifugus (little brown bat). RNAcentral's name for it is "U2 spliceosomal RNA". It matches the Rfam family "U2 spliceosomal RNA". From Rfam's summary of the family: U2 is a small nuclear RNA (snRNA) component of the spliceosome (involved in pre-mRNA splicing). The record is from Rfam by way of RNAcentral. Lineage: Eukaryota; Metazoa; Chordata; Mammalia; Chiroptera; Vespertilionidae.
AUCGCUUCUCGGCCUUUUGGCUAAGAUCAAGUAUAGUAUCUGUUCUUAUCAGUUUAAUAAAUACUGCAACACAAAAAUAAUUACUGUUAAUGUUUUGGUCUUGAUACCUUAUAAUUAUGAGAUAUUCAUUUUAGCAUUAUUAGAAUUACC